AACGUAGGAGGCAAGCGUUAUCCGGAGUUACUGGGCGUAAAGAGCGUGUAGGCGGGCUGGCAAGUCUGAUGUGAAAGCUCCCGGCUAAACUGGGAGAGUGCAUUGGAGACUGCCAAUCUAGAGGCUGUCAGAGGGUCGUGGAAUUCCGGGUGUAGUGGUGAAAUGCGUAGAGAUCCGGAGGAACACCAGUGGCGAAGGCGACGACCUGGGGCAGAACUGACGCUGAGACGCGAAAGCACGGGGAGCGAACGGG
RNAcentral lists this ribosomal RNA (253 nucleotides) under uncultured bacterium. RNAcentral describes it as "partial 16S ribosomal RNA". It matches the Rfam family "Bacterial small subunit ribosomal RNA", at positions 524 to 776 of the family's 1533-position model. The record is from RNAcentral.